Molecule: non-coding RNA, 73 nt
Organism: Podarcis lilfordi (Lilford's wall lizard)
Lineage: Eukaryota; Metazoa; Chordata; Lepidosauria; Squamata; Lacertidae
Source: the annotation of a GenBank genome assembly
UUCAUAGCUCAGUCGGUAGAGCAUGAGACUCUUGAUCUCAGGGUCACGGGUUGAAGCCACACGGUGGUCAAAA